RNAcentral lists this ribosomal RNA (235 nucleotides) under uncultured bacterium. RNAcentral's name for it is "partial 16S ribosomal RNA". It matches the Rfam family "Bacterial small subunit ribosomal RNA", at positions 118 to 347 of the family's 1533-position model. The record is from RNAcentral.
UGAGGAACAUGACCUUCGGCGGGGGAGUAGCCGGCCCAACGGCCGGGUAAUACCGCGUACGACCACAUGGGGACAUCCCUGAGUGGUGAAAGUAGCAAUGCGCCGAUGGAGUGCCUCGCGGCCUAUCAGCUAGUUGGUGAGGUAACGGCUCAUCAAGGCGACGACGGGUAGCUGGUCUGAGAGGAUGGCCAGCCAUAUUGGGACUGAGACACGGCCCAGACCUCUACCGGGGAGG